UAGGGAAUAUUGGACAAUGGGGGCAACCCUGAUCCAGCCAUGCCGCGUGAGUGAAGAAGGCCCUCGGGUUGUAAAGCUCUUUUGUCCGGAAAGAAAAGCUUCGGGUUAAUACCCCGGGGUUCUGACGGUACCGGAAGAAUAAGCACCGGCUAACUUCGUGCCAGCAGCCGCGGUAAUACGAAGGGUGCAAGCGUUACUCGGAAUUACUGGGCGUAAAGCGUGCGUAGGUGGUUGUUUAAGUCUGAUGUGAAAGCCCUGGGCUCAACCUGGGAAUGGCAUUGGAAACUGGCAGCUAGAGUGCGGUAGAGGGUAGUGGAAUUCCCGGUGUAGCAGUGAAAUGCGUAGAGAUCGGGAGGAACAUCUGUGGCGAAGGCGACUGCCUGGACCAGCACUGACACUGAGGCACGAAAGCGUGGGGAGC
RNAcentral lists this ribosomal RNA (421 nucleotides) under uncultured bacterium. RNAcentral describes it as "bacterial SSU rRNA". It matches the Rfam family "Bacterial small subunit ribosomal RNA", at positions 355 to 769 of the family's 1533-position model. The record is from RNAcentral.